UGGGGAAUAUUUGACAAUGGGCGCAAGCCUGAUCCAGCCAUGCCGCGUGAGUGAUGAAGGCCCUAUGGUAGUAAAGCUCUUUCACCGGUGAAGAUAAUGACGGUAACCGUAGAAGAAGCCCCGGCUAACUUCGUGCCAGCAGCCGCGUUAAUACGAAGGGGGCUAGCGUUGUUCGGAUUUACUGGGCGUAAAGCGCACGUAGGCGGACUAUUAAGUCAGGGGUGAUAUCCCGGGGCUCAACCCCGGAACUGCCUUUGAUACUGGUAGUCUUGAGUACGAGAGAUGUGAGUGGAAUCCCGCGGGGCGAGGUAAAAUUCGUAGAUAUUCGGAGGAACACCAGUGGCGAAGGCGGCUCACUGGCUCGAUACUGACGCUGAGGUGCGAAAGCGUGGGGAGCAAACAGG
RNAcentral lists this ribosomal RNA (404 nucleotides) under Actinomycetes bacterium. RNAcentral's name for it is "Actinobacteria bacterium partial 16S ribosomal RNA". It matches the Rfam family "Bacterial small subunit ribosomal RNA", at positions 355 to 776 of the family's 1533-position model. The record is from RNAcentral. Lineage: Bacteria; Bacillati; Actinomycetota; Actinomycetes.